Molecule: ribosomal RNA, 333 nt
Filed under: Clostridioides difficile
Lineage: Bacteria; Bacillati; Bacillota; Clostridia; Peptostreptococcales; Peptostreptococcaceae
Description: bacterial LSU rRNA
Rfam family: Bacterial large subunit ribosomal RNA
Source: RNAcentral
UACUACCGAAGCUACGGCAUCAGUAAUGAUGGGUAGGGGAGCUUCCCAUACGGGUUGAAGCAUGACCGUAAGGACAUGUGGACAGUAUGGGAGUGAGAAUGUUGGCAUGAGUAGCGAGAUGUGGGUGAGAAUCCCACAGGCCGUAAACCCAAGGUUUCCAGGGGAAGGUUCGUCCGCCCUGGGUUAGUCGGGACCUAAGCUGAGGCCGAAAGGCGUAGGUGAUGGACAACAGGUUGAUAUUCCUGUACUACCGAUAACCGUUUGAGAGAAGGGAUGACACAGUAGGAUAAGCUAAGCACCCUGUUGGUUAUGUGUGCCCAAGCAUUGAGGCAG